This 587-nucleotide ribosomal RNA is filed under the name uncultured archaeon. RNAcentral's name for it is "bacterial SSU rRNA". It matches the Rfam family "Archaeal small subunit ribosomal RNA", at positions 83 to 656 of the family's 1478-position model. The record is from RNAcentral.
CGGCUCACUUUCAAAGGGUNCACCUGCCCUAGAGACACGGACAACCCCCGGAAACUGGGAUUAAUCCGUGAUAGGUCACCUCAUCUGGAAGGAGAGAUGGCUUAAAGGGGUACGCGGGCUUCUUCUGCGUAUUCGCUCUAGGAUGGGACUGCGUCCGAUCAGGCUGUUGGCGGGGUAAUGGCCCACCAAACCUGUAACCGGUACGGGCCUUGAGAGAGGUGGCCCGGAGAUGGACACUGAGAGAAGGGUCCAGGUCCUACGGGGCGCAGCAGGCGCGAAACCUUCGCAAUGCGCGAAAGCGUGACGAGGUUAAUCCGAGUGGUCCCCGCUGAGGGGAUCUUUUGUCAGCUGUAAAUAGGCAGGCGAAUAAGGGGAGGGCAAGCCUGGUGUCAGCCGCCGCGGUAAUACCAGCUCCUCGAGUGGUCGGGGCGAUUAUUGGGCCUAAAGCAUCCGUAGCCGGUUCCGUAGGUCCUCUGUUAAAUCCAACCGCUUAACGGUUGACCUGCAGAGGAUACCGCGGGACUAGGAGGCGGGAGAGGCGGACGGUACUCCGCGUGUAGGGGUAAAAUCCUUUGAUCCGCGGAAGA